GGGUUGUGAGGUUAAGCGACUAAGCGUACACGGUGGAUGCCCUGGCAGUCAGAGGCGAUGAAGGACGUGCUAAUCUGCGAUAAGCGUCGGUAAGGUGAUAUGAACCGUUAUAACCGGCGAUUUCCGAAUGGGGAAACCCAGUGUGAUUCGUCACACUAUCAUUAACUGAAUCCAUAGGUUAAUGAGGCGAACCGGGGGAACUGAAACAUCUAAGUACCCCGAGGAAAAGAAAUCAACCGAGAUUCCCCCAGUAGCGGCGAGCGAACGGGGAGCAGCCCAGAGCCUGAAUCAGUGUGUGUGUUAGUGGAAGCGUCUGGAAAGGCGCGCGAUACAGGGUGACAGCCCCGUACACAAAAAUGCACAUAUUGUGAGCUCGAUGAGUAGGGCGGGACACGUGGUAUCCUGUCUGAAUAUGGGGGGACCAUCCUCCAAGGCUAAAUACUCCUGACUGACCGAUAGUGAACCAGUACCGUGAGGGAAAGGCGAAAAGAACCCCGGCGAGGGGAGUGAAAAAGAACCUGAAACCGUGUACGUACAAGCAGUGGGAGCACGCUUAGGCGUGUGACUGCGUACCUUUUGUAUAAUGGGUCAGCGACUUAUAUUCUGUAGCAAGGUUAACCGAAUAGGGGAGCCGAAGGGAAACCGAGUCUUAACUGGGCGUUAAGUUGCAGGGUAUAGACCCGAAACCCGGUGAUCUAGCCAUGGGCAGGUUGAAGGUUGGGUAACACUAACUGGAGGACCGAACCGACUAAUGUUGAAAAAUUAGCGGAUGACUUGUGGCUGGGGGUGAAAGGCCAAUCAAACCGGGAGAUAGCUGGUUCUCCCCGAAAGCUAUUUAGGUAGCGCCUCGUGAAUUCAUCUCCGGGGGUAGAGCACUGUUUCGGCAAGGGGGUCAUCCCGACUUACCAACCCGAUGCAAACUGCGAAUACCGGAGAAUGUUAUCACGGGAGACACACGGCGGGUGCUAACGUCCGUCGUGAAGAGGGAAACAACCCAGACCGCCAGCUAAGGUCCCAAAGUCAUGGUUAAGUGGGAAACGAUGUGGGAAGGCCCAGACAGCCAGGAUGUUGGCUUAGAAGCAGCCAUCAUUUAAAGAAAGCGUAAUAGCUCACUGGUCGAGUCGGCCUGCGCGGAAGAUGUAACGGGGCUAAACCAUGCACCGAAGCUGCGGCAGCGACGCUUAUGCGUUGUUGGGUAGGGGAGCGUUCUGUAAGCCUGUGAAGGUGUGCUGUGAGGCAUGCUGGAGGUAUCAGAAGUGCGAAUGCUGACAUAAGUAACGAUAAAGCGGGUGAAAAGCCCGCUCGCCGGAAGACCAAGGGUUCCUGUCCAACGUUAAUCGGGGCAGGGUGAGUCGACCCCUAAGGCGAGGCCGAAAGGCGUAGUCGAUGGGAAACAGGUUAAUAUUCCUGUACUUGGUGUUACUGCGAAGGGGGGACGGAGAAGGCUAUGUUGGCCGGGCGACGGUUGUCCCGGUUUAAGCGUGUAGGCUGGUUUUCCAGGCAAAUCCGGAAAAUCAAGGCUGAGGCGUGAUGACGAGGCACUACGGUGCUGAAGCAACAAAUGCCCUGCUUCCAGGAAAAGCCUCUAAGCAUCAGGUAACAUCAAAUCGUACCCCAAACCGACACAGGUGGUCAGGUAGAGAAUACCAAGGCGCUUGAGAGAACUCGGGUGAAGGAACUAGGCAAAAUGGUGCCGUAACUUCGGGAGAAGGCACGCUGAUAUGUAGGUGAAGCGACUUGCUCGUGGAGCUGAAAUCAGUCGAAGAUACCAGCUGGCUGCAACUGUUUAUUAAAAACACAGCACUGUGCAAACACGAAAGUGGACGUAUACGGUGUGACGCCUGCCCGGUGCCGGAAGGUUAAUUGAUGGGGUCAGCGCAAGCGAAGCUCUUGAUCGAAGCCCCGGUAAACGGCGGCCGUAACUAUAACGGUCCUAAGGUAGCGAAAUUCCUUGUCGGGUAAGUUCCGACCUGCACGAAUGGCGUAAUGAUGGCCAGGCUGUCUCCACCCGAGACUCAGUGAAAUUGAACUCGCUGUGAAGAUGCAGUGUACCCGCGGCAAGACGGAAAGACCCCGUGAACCUUUACUAUAGCUUGACACUGAACAUUGAGCCUUGAUGUGUAGGAUAGGUGGGAGGCUUUGAAGUGUGGACGCCAGUCUGCAUGGAGCCGACCUUGAAAUACCACCCUUUAAUGUUUGAUGUUCUAACGUUGACCCGUAAUCCGGGUUGCGGACAGUGUCUGGUGGGUAGUUUGACUGGGGCGGUCUCCUCCUAAAGAGUAACGGAGGAGCACGAAGGUUGGCUAAUCCUGGUCGGACAUCAGGAGGUUAGUGCAAUGGCAUAAGCCAGCUUGACUGCGAGCGUGACGGCGCGAGCAGGUGCGAAAGCAGGUCAUAGUGAUCCGGUGGUUCUGAAUGGAAGGGCCAUCGCUCAACGGAUAAAAGGUACUCCGGGGAUAACAGGCUGAUACCGCCCAAGAGUUCAUAUCGACGGCGGUGUUUGGCACCUCGAUGUCGGCUCAUCACAUCCUGGGGCUGAAGUAGGUCCCAAGGGUAUGGCUGUUCGCCAUUUAAAGUGGUACGCGAGCUGGGUUUAGAACGUCGUGAGACAGUUCGGUCCCUAUCUGCCGUGGGCGCUGGAGAACUGAGGGGGGCUGCUCCUAGUACGAGAGGACCGGAGUGGACGCAUCACUGGUGUUCGGGUUGUCAUGCCAAUGGCACUGCCCGGUAGCUAAAUGCGGAAGAGAUAAGUGCUGAAAGCAUCUAAGCACGAAACUUGCCCCGAGAUGAGUUCUCCCUGACUCCUUGAGAGUCCUGAAGGAACGUUGAAGACGACGACGUUGAUAGGCCGGGUGUGUAAGCGCAGCGAUGCGUUGAGCUAACCGGUACUAAUGAACCGUGAGGCUUAACCUUACAACGCCGAAGCUGUU
RNAcentral lists this ribosomal RNA (2930 nucleotides) under Escherichia coli. Its description in RNAcentral is "23S ribosomal RNA". It matches the Rfam family "Bacterial large subunit ribosomal RNA". The record is from RNAcentral. Lineage: Bacteria; Pseudomonadati; Pseudomonadota; Gammaproteobacteria; Enterobacterales; Enterobacteriaceae.